UACAGAGGUCCCGAGCGUUGUUCGGAUUCACUGGGCGUAAAGGGUGCGUAGGUGGCAUGGUAAGUUUGAUGUGAAAGCUCAGGGCUCAACCCUGAAAUGGCAUUGAAUACUACUGUGCUGGAGGUUUGGAGGGGGGACUGGAAUUCUUGGUGUAGCAGUGAAAUGCGUAGAUAUCAAGAGGAACACCAGUGGCGAAGGCGAGUCCCUGGACAACACCUGACACUGAGGCACGAAAGCCGGGGGAGCAAACAGGAUUAGAAACCCGCGUAGUCC
Molecule: ribosomal RNA, 273 nt
Filed under: uncultured bacterium
Lineage: Bacteria
Description: partial 16S ribosomal RNA
Rfam family: Bacterial small subunit ribosomal RNA
Source: RNAcentral